UUGUGGACUCCUUUGUGGGCCGGUCGUACAGGUGUAGGACCAAACGUCCAAGUAGUGGCUGAGAUGGCCUUAUUUAGAAAGAGAAUAAUCAGGGAGGAUUUUUAGGAUCUGGCUAUUGUUUGUUAGGAAAGGAAUGCACCUGGAUUAUAAAGGAUGCACUUAGGAAUGUAAUCAGGUUUAUCGAAGAAGAAUAGAACCUCCCGUGUGGGUGGGGUUCCUCUUCGAUGGUGGCUGCGAGCGCUUCUGCCGCUGCUGCCGGCGAUUCCCCCACUGCAGCAUUGCCUCGCUAUCCCCUCCGUUCCAACUCGCAGUCAAGUCUUCUUCUCCACUCUCCUCUGCGUUCCCCACGGCGGCAGCGCCGUAUCAAUUUGCUAUCAAAGACCCCUUCCGGUGCAUCGACAGCCAUGUCCGGCACCGUGCCCGAUCCUGGGCCAUGGACGCCAUGCUUGAUAGGAUUUUGGGUCAACUCACCAUCAUGAACAACCGCCUGAACUCCCACGCCUCCCGCCUCGCUCGGGUGGAGACCGACAAACCCGACGCCGGCAAGGGCGCUGGCAGAGAAGACAGUAUUGGCGCCGAAGACGAGGUGAAUGACGAAUUCGAGCGUCGCGGCACGGAUCGGGACCCCUUCGACUGGCGCGGACGCGAAUUUGACAGCCGCGGCGGGCGCGACUAUGACGACCGCGGGCGCGGCUACGUCGACUGGCGCGGGCGCGACAUCUACGAACGCGGCUACGAUGACCGCGCCGACCACGGGUUCUCCCGCACAGGCCGUGAUUUCGGGCGCGGCUUCCGCGACAACGGCCGCGACUACGAUGACGGUGGCGGCCGGUCCUUUGAUCGACAUCACGAGCCACACAGACCGCCGAAGAUUCCGUUUCCAACCUACGACGGCGAAUCUGAUCCACUGACUUGGCUGAACAAGUGCGAAAACUUCUUUCGCGGCCAUCGUGUCCCGGCAGAUGAGAAGGUGUAGAUGGCAUCCCUAUACCUCGACGGCACCGCAGCGGACUGGUACUUUCAAAUGGAACGUGACUUCGGCUUGGUCCCGUGGCCACGUUUCGUCGACUUCGUCAACCUCCGCUUCAGGCCACCAGUUCGCACCAACUCGAUCGCGGAGAUCAAGGCCCUGGUUCGCAAGGGCACGGUGGAGGAUUACUCGUGGCGCUUCCAGACCCUGCUCGCGCGCUGCGCCAACCUCGCCCCGUGCACGGUGAUAUAUCUCUACACGGGCGGUUUGGGACAGCCGCUGGCACAUGACAUCGAGAUGCAGUACCCCGCCAAUCUGCAGAAGGCCAUCAGCCUCGCGCGUGCAUUCGAACAACGCCACACGGAGGCCUCCACCGCCAACAGCUCCGCCGCACCCAAGCCUUCUGCGCGUCGUGUCAGCGUCUCGGCCAGCACUGUACCUCCGGGCACGAGUGGCACAGACGGGCCGCGACCGCGCUUCCGUCGUCUGACUCCGGUGGAAAUGCAGGAAAAAAGGAAGAAUGGGCAAUGCUAUUUUUGCCCUGAACCCUACAGCAAGGACCACCAGUGUGCUGCCAAAAAUGUCUUCCUCAUGGAGUUGGCGGAGGGCGAGCCAGAUCCCCUUGGUGAGGUUCAUGACUUGGAGAUUUCCCUUGCCGCACUGACUGGCCUCAAUUCUGCAGAUUCCAUGAUGUUGCAGGUGUCUAUUGGUGGUGCACAUUUGAGGGCGCUGGUGGACACGGGCUCCACUCACACCUUCGUCCACUCAGCCCUCGUGCAAUGCUUGGGCCUUGCCGUCACCCCACGAGCCGGCCUCAAUGUCAUGGUGGCCAAUGGCGACAAAGUGCGCAGCCCGGGCGUCUGCCUUGCUAUCCUAGUCACCAUCGACACCGAGACGUUCUCCAUCGACUGCUUCGCCCUCGACUUGGGCGGCUUCGACUUGGUGCUCGGCGUGCAGUGGCUGCGCACGCUGGGGCCCAUCGUGUGGGACUUCGGCGCCCUGGCGAUGUCCUUCUGGUACAAUGGCCGGUCCCAUCACUAGACUGGCGUGCCGGGCCAGGGCGUCGCUGCACGCGCCAUCACUGACUCCAGGACGGUCCUGGACGAGCUGCUGCUGUCCUACCAGGACAUCUUUGAGGAGCCCCGCGGGUUGCCACCGGCACGCCGCCACAACCAUCGGAUCCACCUGCUGCCGAACGCACCUCAGGUCACGGUGCGGCCGUAUCGGUACCCGCAGCUCCUCAAGGACGAGAUCGAGCGGCAAUGCGACGACAUGCUGGCGCAGGGGAUUAUCCGGGAGUCGACCUCACCAUUUUCCUCCCUGGUGCUCCUCGUCCGCAAGCACGACGACAGCUGGCGCUUCUGCGUCGACUACCGCACCCUCAACAACGCGACGAUCAAGGACAAAUUUCCCAUUCCAGUCGUCGAUGAGCUCCUCGAUGAGUUGAAGGGUGCCCGCUUCUUCACCAAGAUUGAUCUACGCAGCGGGUACCACCAAGUGCGGAUGCACCCGGACGACGUCGCCAAAACAGCCUUCCGGACGCACCGCGGACACUUCGAGUUCCUGGUGAUGCCCUUCGGCCUCACCAACGCGCCGGCGACCUUCCAAGCCCUCAUGAACGACGUGCUCAAGUCGUUCAUUCGUCGCUUCGUCUUGGUUUUUUUUGAUGAUAUUUUAAUUUACAGCCCCACGUGGGCUGAGCACUUACAGCAUGUCAAGGCUGUGCUGCAGCUUAUGCGCGAUCAUCGUCUCUUCGCCAAGCGUUCCAAGUGCUACUUCGGAGAACCAUCAGUGGCCUAUUUGGGCCACAUUAUCUCAGCUGCGGGCGUCGCUAUGGAUGCGGACAAGGUGGCGGCUGUGGAGGCUUGGCCACGACCAUGCACAGCCAAAGCUCUUCGGGGCUUCCUGGGCCUCACCGGCUACUACCGGAAAUUCAUCGCCGGUUAUGGUGGCGUUGCAGCGCCCCUCACCGCCCUCCUCAAGCGGGAGGCGUUCAGCUGGUCAGAGGAGGCAGAAGCUGCCUUCGGCGCCCUCAAGUCAGUCCUCGUCACCGCACCUCUUCUGCAGCUUCCGGACUUCACCAAGCGCUUUGUGGUGGACUGCGAUGCCUCUGGCGCGGGAUUUGGCGCAGUCCUGCACCAAGGCGACGGCGCCAUUGCGUUCUUCAGCAGGCCGGUUGCUCCCCACCACGCCAAGCUGCCCGCCUAUGAGCGCGAGCUGAUUGGCCUUGUCAAGGUUGUUCGUCAUUGGCGACUGUACCUAUGGGGCCGGGCGUUCACCAUCCGCACCGACCAUUGGAGUCUCAAAUUCCUCCUCGACCAACGCCUCACCACCAUUCCACAACACACCUGGGUCUCCAAGUUGUUCGGUUACGACCUCACGGUCGAAUACCGGGCCGGUAAGUUCAACACCAUCGCCGAUGCCUUGUCUCGCAGGGAUGAGGACGUCGCUGCGCUGGUCCUCUCAGGGCCCCUCUUCACCGACUAUGGGGUCCUACGCGAGGAGCUGCAGUUGGACGCCACUGCCCAGGAUCUGUGCACCCGCUUGGCUGCUAGAACAGCACCGGCAGGGUGGCAACUGGUUGAUGGUCUUCUCUACAACGGCAAGGUCUUCGUUCCGGAGGAUUCGAGCUUGUGGCCUCAGCUCCUGCGUGCUGCACAUGAGGCCGGCCAUGAAGGGGUGCAGAAAACACUUCACAGGCUGCGGGCGUCCUUCUACAGCAGCGCCGCCCAGCGCCUUGUCCGGGAUUUUGUGCGGGGCUGCGCUGUUUGUCAGCGCAACAAGACUGAGCACCUCCAUCCGGCUGGCCUGCUUCAGCCCCUGCCCGUACCGAGUAACGUCUGGAGCGACAUCGCCAUGGACUUCGUCGAAGGAUUUCCAUGGGUUGGCGGCAAGUCCGUCGUCUUGACCGUCGUGGAUUGCUUCUCCAAGAUGGGCCACUUUAUUGCUCUCGGCCACCCGUAUUCAGCUCAGUCGGUGGCCCGGGCGUUCUUCGACAACAUUGUACGCCUCCAUGGGUUUCCGUGUUCGAUCGUCAGUGAUCGUGACACGGUCUUCACCAGCCACUUUUGGGAGGAGCUCUUCAAACUGGCCGGCGUCAAACUGCUGCGAAGUUCAGCGUUUCAUCCACAGACGGACGGUCAGUCGGAGGUCACGAACCGCAUUAUUGUCAUGUAUCUCCGGUGCCUUGCAGGUGAUCGCCCUCGCUCCUGGCUGCAGUGGCUGCCAUGGGCUGAGUUCUGCUUCAAUACGUCCUAUCAGACAGCUCUACGGGCUACACCAUUUGAGGUUGUCUAUGGGCGCCCUCCCCCAACCUUGAUGUCAUACUCGGCUGGUGCUGCAAGGGUGGCUGCAGUGGAUCGUCAGCUGCAGGACCGUGACGUCUUUCUGGCGGAGAUCCGGGAACGCCUUCUGCUUGCACAGGACACUAUGCGGGAGACUCAGAACCAGAAGCGCCGUCAUGUUGAGUUCUCCAUUGGUGACCGGGUGCUGCUCCGUCUACAUCAGCGUGCGGCUGUGGGCAUCACUGCCGCAGCACCCUCCAAGCUCGGUCCUCGCUACCACGGGCCCUACAAGGUUCUGGAACGCAUCGGCGCGGUUGCAUAUCGCCUGAAGCUUCCUCCCCGGGCCAGGAUUCAUGAUGUCUUCCACGUCGCCCUACUGAAGAAGUUUGCAGGACCGCCACCAACGGUGAUCACGCCUCUGCCACCCAUUCUUCAAGGCCGCGUCGUUCCUACUCCAUCUCAGGUGGCACGCGCUCGGUUGAACCGAGGCUCCUGGGAGCUGCUGGUCAAUUGGGAGGGCCGCUCUGCGGCUGAAGCUACAUGGGAGCCCAUUGCCGCCUUCAAGGAACGCUACCCGGCGUUUCAGCUCGCGGACGAGCUGUUUGUUGGGGAGGAGGGAAAUGUUGUGGACUCCUUUGUGGGCCGGUCGUACAGGCGUAGGACCAAACAUCCAAGUAGUGGCUGAGAUGGCCUUAUUUAGAAAGAGAAUAAUCAGGGAGGAUUUUUAGGAUCUGGCUAUUGUUUGUUAGGAAAGGAAUGCACCUGGACUAUAAAGGAUGCACUUAGGAAUGUAAUCAGGUUUAUCGAAGAAGAAUAGAACCUCCCGUGUGGGUGGGGUUCCUCUUCGACGGUGGCUGCGAGCGCUUCUGCCGCUGCUGCUGGCGAUUCCCCCACCGCAGCAUUGCCUCGCUA
This 5166-nucleotide long non-coding RNA is filed under the name Sorghum bicolor (sorghum). RNAcentral describes it as "long non-coding RNA (SBIC_LNC008793)". Lineage: Eukaryota; Viridiplantae; Streptophyta; Magnoliopsida; Poales; Poaceae. The record is from RNAcentral.